UGCAGCUUGCCGUGAACCAGACCUGUCCCUCCUCCCUCGGAGGGGACGCCGGGGGCAUCCCAGGGCCCAGGUGACAGAGGGAGAGGUCUGUGGCUUGCAAAGCUGGUUCCACUUUUCCAAGUCGCUUCCUGUGAGCUCGGUGACCGUCUCUUCAUCUGCAGUCACCUUGUCUGUGGCUCGAGGUCACCUGGCUGCGUGGCGCCAGGGGCACCCCUCUCAGGACGCCAACUGUAGCCCACAUGGGUCGCGGGAUCCGCCCAGGGGCUCCUCCUUCUGGGAAAUUACGUUUCUCAGUUAUUGGAAAUUCGUGAAAUAGAGACUCGGAAAGGAAAUCUCUAGCUGCCCCCCCCCCGGGUCGCUUUCUCUGGUUUGAAGUUUUAUGAAGAAGUUGCAACGCACCGAGUGCGCGAUUCAGAUCCUGCUAUUCCAAAAGGAAAUGGGGUUUUCACAGCACUGCAGAAUCUUCUUGGUAUUAUUUUUAACUGUUGCCUCUUCUGUCACACACCCCUGUGUUUCCCCAAUUCUUGGCUCUUUCCCUCUUCCUUAAUAAUAGAAACCUCAAGCUUUGGCAGGGCCUCCCCCCACCCAUCCAUGCCCAAAAAAAAGGGGGGGGGACUUUACUUCCCAGCCUCUUUUGCAGCUAGGUGUGCCCACGGACUAAGUUCUGGCCAGUGAAUAUAAAUAACUUCCAAAUGGUGUCCCUAGAGAGGAGGGGGCCUCCUCUUCUUCCCAUCCUCCCCAUUGGCUGGAAUGUAGAUGUGAUGGCCACAACCUGAGUGGCCAUCUUGGGCCAAUGUGGGGCAACCCCGAACAGGAACUGGGAAUCCUGGUGAAUCUUUGAAGCCACUUCCACAAUUUGUUCAGGUAAAAGAGAAACAGUCUUCUCUUUCAUUUGGGAUUUGUCAUUUCGUCUUUUCUGACUCAAAGACAAAACUCAUCCUAACCUUGCACCAGGAAUUGGUGAAGGAAUCUGGUUUUUCUCUUGCGAUCCUGUCCCCACUGACUGGGCACCUGGUGGUCCCCACUUCUCAAGCCUCUCGCUGACUCUGCUGUGAACCUCUGUGUCACCAUCUGUGAUCAUUCCCUAGUACAGAGUCCCAGAAGGCAGCUCUGGAUUCAAACCUCUCACGCCUGUCACCCCCUGCCCCCAGCAGCUCGGCUGACACAGGUGUCCCUCCCUGGCAGGGAGGCCCCAUUCUGGAGCCAGGACAAAGGUCCCAGCUUUCGAACUCAUGUCCUCCA
This 1242-nucleotide long non-coding RNA is filed under the name Marmota monax (woodchuck). Lineage: Eukaryota; Metazoa; Chordata; Mammalia; Rodentia; Sciuridae. The record is from RNAcentral.